Lontra canadensis (Northern American river otter) is the source of this 145-nucleotide long non-coding RNA. RefSeq lists it as uncharacterized. NCBI's taxonomy places the organism in Eukaryota, Metazoa, Chordata, Mammalia, Carnivora, Mustelidae. The record is from RefSeq and is a predicted model, not a curated record. The transcript is spliced from 3 exons.
CAACUGAGCCACCCAGGCGCCCCAGAAAAGGAGAAUUUUGAAGUAAUAGUGUAUUUCCUUUGCUUACAUUGCUUAGUUUCUAGAUUAAAAAGAACUUUAGUACACUCAUUAUUCCACUCCCCAACUUUUAAGGUUUUUAGUCUUA